This is a non-coding RNA of Camelina sativa (false flax), 594 nucleotides long. NCBI's taxonomy places the organism in Eukaryota, Viridiplantae, Streptophyta, Magnoliopsida, Brassicales, Brassicaceae. The record is from RefSeq and is a predicted model, not a curated record.
AUUCUUUCUUCUUCUCCCGUGAACCAGUUAACUGACUUAAAGAGUCAGUUAGCUGCUUGUUUCUUUACGAGCAUCUUUGUCACUUUUUGAAGUAUCCUCCAUAAAGUUAUUUGUAAAUUAGUUAUUUAGAUGAGAUGGGCGUCAGAGAAAUAAUAAUAUUUAUCAUAUAAUCAGUCUCCAUUUUACAGGUUUUAAAUCUCUCGAGGAACUUUACUACAGAACAUGGUUACACAGUAUCUGGAAUACAGUCAUUGUAAUAUGGUGCUUUUGAUUCUCUUUGCAUCUGUUUCUAAAAUUAUCAGGGUUUGACUUCUUCGGGAUAUUUGCUGGCUAUUGGAGAUGACAAUCAAAUGUAUGAGCUUCACCCUGACGGCAACAGUUUUGACUUUUUCAAAGGUCUGGUUCGAAGAAAAAUAUGAUCCAAAGAUUAUCUUGCUGCAUCUUCUGGUGGAAGUAGAUAACAGUGUUUUAGAACCAUCGACACAACUGAUACUAGUUUCAAUUUUCGAAAGCAACGAAGUUGCAGUAUUGCCCUUUAUUCCCCCUGUAUCCAGAUAAUCUCUUUAUUCUCUAUCAUAUAAAUAUCCCUUAUUA